Molecule: ribosomal RNA, 443 nt
Filed under: uncultured bacterium
Lineage: Bacteria
Description: partial 16S ribosomal RNA
Rfam family: Bacterial small subunit ribosomal RNA
Source: RNAcentral
CCUACGGGAGGCAGCAGUGGGGAAUAUUGGGCAAUGGGCGCAAGCCUGACCCAGCAACGCCGCGUGAAGGAAGAAGGCUUUCGGGUUGUAAACUUCUUUUGUCAGGGACGAAGCAAGUGACGGUACCUGACGAAUAAGCCACGGCUAAUUGCGGCCCAGCACCCGGGAAAAUGCGUAGGGGGCAAGGGUUAUCCGGAUUUACUGGGUGAAAGGGGGGUGUAGGCGGGACCGCAAGUCAGAUGUGAAAACCACGGGCUCAACCUGUGGCCUGCAUUUGAAACUGUAGUUCUUGAGUACUGGAGAGGCAGACGGAAUUCCUAGUGUAGCGGUGAAAUGCGUAGAUAUUAGGAGGAACACCAGUGGCGAAGGCGGUCUGCUGGACAGCAACUGACGCUGAGGCGCGAAAGCGUGGGGAGCAAACAGGAUUAGAUACCCUUGUAGUC